This is a non-coding RNA of Schizosaccharomyces pombe (fission yeast), 464 nucleotides long. The record is from the annotation of a GenBank genome assembly. Lineage: Eukaryota; Fungi; Ascomycota; Schizosaccharomycetes; Schizosaccharomycetales; Schizosaccharomycetaceae.
AUCUGCCGCCGGUUUUUUAUCCAAAUUUACCCUCUAUUUACACUUGCAUUUUCAUCUGCCUCGAUCACUCUAUCCAUGACAAUCGCCUUUUCCAACUAAUUUGCCUUUUCGCGGGUAUCUACGCUUCGUCUGGAGUAUUAUCUACUUCCGUUCUUAUCCUCUAAUUCCACACACACUUGCUUUCCGUACUCAAAUCGGUAACUGACAUGGCAAAAAUUAACACAUUUAUUUCGUCUUAACCCACUUUCGGCAUUUUUCAGCUGCACAAAAAGGGAACAAUUUCAAAGAAUUUAGACACUACCAGCAGGUAUAUGUGUGUAAAAUAUUAUAAUUCAUUGAGUUAAUACAAUUUCCUCUAUAAACUCGCAUUCUAUUCAUAGUGCUUACUCCCAUAAAACUUGUUAUCCCGAAACCAUAUCUCCUGUUACCUUUUACAGCCGCACCACGAUCGCAAUUUAUUUUAA